CGGCGUGCAUGGCAGGUGAUUCAGGCGUGUCCGUCAUGUGGUUCCGGUAUGUCCGGGAGCUGGUUCCGCAGUGUCCGGCACGUGGUUCUGGCACGUCUGAGAGGUGGUUCCGGCAUGCCCGGCAGGUGGUUCCGGAGUGUCUGCCGAGUGGUUCUGGCGUAGACGGCAGGUGAUUCUGGCGUGUCCAGCAGGUGGUUCUGGGGAGUGGAUCAGGUGGUUCCGGCAUACUCGGCAGGUGGUACCUGCGUGUCCGGAACAUGGUUCUGGCAAGCCUGAUAGGUGGUUCCGGCAUGCCCGGCAGCUGAUUCGGGAGUGUUCGCCAAGUGGUUCUGGCGUAGCCAGCAGGUGAUUUUGCAUGUCCGGCAGUGGUUCCGGCGAGUCGAGCUGGUGGUUCCUGCGUGUCCGGCAGGUGGUUCCGGUCUGUCCGGCAGGUGGUUCUGGCGUGUCCGGCACGAGGUUCUGGCACGUCUGAGAGGUGGAUCUGGCAUGCCCGACAGGUGAUUCCGGAGUGUCCGCCACAUGGUUCUGGCGUACCCGGCAUGUGAUUUUGGCGUGUCUGGAAGGUGUUUCUUGCAAGUCGAGCAUGUGGCUCAGGCAUGCUCAGCACGUGCUUCCGGCGUGUCCGGCACGUGGUUCUGGUGUGUCUGAGAGCUGGUUCUGGCAUGUCCGGCAGAUGAUUCCGGAGUGUCCACCAAGUGGUUCUGGCAUACCCGACAGGUGAUUUUGGCGUGUCAGGUAGGUGGUUCCGGCGAGUCGAGUAGGUGGUUCCGGCGCGCUCGGCAGGUGGUUCAGGCGGGUCUGGCAGGUGGUUUCGGUCUGUUCGGGGUGUGGUUCCGGCAUCUCAGGCACAUGGUUCUGGCACGUCUGAGAGGUGGUUCCGGCCGGCCCGACAGGUGUUUCCAUGGUGUCCGCCAAGUGGUUCUGGCAUAGCUGGCAGGUGAUGUUGGCGUGAGCGGCAGGUGGUUCCAGCCAGCCCGUCAGGUGAUUCCGAAGUGUUCACCUAAUGGUUGUGGCAUAGCCGGCAGGUGAUUUUGGCGUAUCCAGCAAGUGGUUCCGGCGAGUCGAGCAGGUGGUUCCGGCGUGCUCGUAAGGUGGUUCAGGCAUGUAUGAAAGGUGGUUCCGGUUAGUCCGGGAGGUGGUUCCGGCGUGUCCGGCACAUUUUUCAGGCACGUCUGAGGGGUGGUUCCGGCAUGCACGGCAGGUGAUUCCGGAGUGUCCACCAAGUGGUUCCCGCGUAGCCAGCAGGUGGUUCAGGCGGUUCCAGCAGGUGGUUCUGGGGAGUGGAUCGGGUGGUUCUGGCAUGCUCGGCAGGUGCUUCCGGCAUCUCCUGCACGUGGUUCUGGUACGUAUGAGAGGUGGUUCCCACACGCCAGGCAGGUGAUUUUGGAGUGUCUGGCAAGUGGUUCUGGCAUAGCCGGCAGCUGAUUUUGGCAUGUCCGGCAGGUGGCUCCAGCGACUCGAGCAGGUUGUUCCGGCAUGCUCAGCAGGUGGAUCCGGCAUGCUCGGCAGGUGGUUCAGGCGGGUCUGGCAGGUGGUUUCGGUCUGUUCGGGGUGUGGUUCCGGCAUCUCAGGCACAUGGUUCUGGCACGUCUGAGAGGUGUUUGCGGCCGGCACGACUGGUGUUUCCGGAGUGUCCGCCAAGUGGUUCUGGCGUAGCUGGCAGGUGAUGUUGGCAUGACCGGCAGGUGGUUCCAGCCAGAACGGCAGUUGAUUCCGAAGUGUUCACCAACUGGUUGUGGCGUAGCCGGUAGGUAAUUUUUGCGUGUCCGCCAAGUGGUUCUGGUGUAGCUGGCAGGUGAUUUUGGUGUGACCGGCAGGUGGUUCCAGCCAGCCCGGCAGUUGAUUUCGAAGUGCUCACCAACUGGUUGUGGCGUAGCCAGCAGGUGAUUUUGGAGUGUCCGGCAGGUGGUUCUGGCGAGUCAAGCAGGUGGUUCCGGCGUGCUCGGCAGGUGCUUCCGGUGUCAUUGGCAUGUGGUUGUGGCAUGUCUGAGACGUCGUUGCGGCAUGCCCAGCGGGUGAUUCCGGAGUGUUCGCCAAGUGCUUGUGGCGUAGCCAGCAGGAGAUCUUGCAUGUUCGGCGGUGGUUCCGGCGAGUCGAGCCGGUGGUUCCGGCGUGUCCGGCAGGUGGUUCUGGGGUGUCCUGCACGAGGUUCCAGCACGUCUGCGAGGUUGUGUAGGCAUGCACUUCACGUAAUUCCGGCUUGUCAGACAAGUGGUUCUGGUGUAGCAGGCAGGUGAUUUUGGCGUGUCUGGCAGGUGUUUCUAGCGAGUCGAGCAGGUGGCUCAGGCAUGCUCUGCAGGUGCUUCUGGCGUCUCAGGCAGGUUGUUCUGGUGUGUCUGAGAGCUGCUUCUGGCAUGUCUGGCAGAUGAUUCCGGAGUGACCACCAAGUGGUUCUGGCAUACCCGGCCGGUGGUUUUUGCGUGUCAGGUAGGCGGUUCCGGCGAGUCGAGCAGGUGGUUCCGUCAUGCUCGGCAGGUGGUUCAGGCGGGUCUGGCAGGUGGUUUCAGUCUGUUCGGGGUGUGGUUCCAGCAUCUCGGGCACAUGGUUCUGGCACGUCUGAGAUGUGGUUCCGGCCGGCCAGACAGGUGUUACCGGAGUGUCCACCAAGUGGUUCUGGCGUAGCUGGAAGGUGAUUUUGGCGUGACCGACGGGUGGUUCCAACAAGCCCGGCAGGUGAUUCCGAAGUGUUCACCAACUGGUUGUGGCGUAGCUGGCAGUUGAUUUUGGCGUGUCCAGCAGGUGGUUCUGGCGAGUCGAGCAGGUGGUUCCGGCGUGCUCGGCAGGUGCUUCCAGUGUCAUUGGCAUGUGGUUCUGGCAUGUCUGAGAGGUGGUUCCGGCAUGUCCGGCAGGUGAUUCCGGAGUGUUCGCCAAGUGGUUCUGGCGUAGCCGGCAGGUGAUUUUGCAUGUCCGGCAAUGGUUCCGGCGAGUCGAGCCGGUGGUUCUGGCAUGUCCGGCAGGUGGUUCCGGUCUGUCCAGCAGGUGGUUCUGGGGUGUCCGGCACGAGGUUCUGGCACCUCUGAGAGGUGGUUCCGGCGUGCCUGACAGGUCAUUCCGGAGUGUCCGCCACGUGGUUCUGGCGUACCCGGCAGGUGAUUUUGGCAUGUCCGGCAGAUGAUUCCGGAGUGUCCACCAAGUGGUUCUGGCAUACCCGGCAGGUGAUUUUGGCGUGUCAGGUAGGUGGUUCCGGCGAGUCGAGUAGGUGGUUCCGGCAUGCUCGGCAGGUGCAUCCGGUGUCAUUGGCAUGUGGGUCUGGCAUGUCUGAGAGGUGGUUCCGGCAUGCCUGGCAGGAGAUUGCAGAGUGUUCUCCAAGUGGUUCUUGCGUAGCCGGCAGGUGAUUUUGCAUGUCCGGCGGUGGUUCCGGCGAGUCGAGCCGCUUGUUCUGGCGUGUCCGUCAGGUGGUUCCGGUCUGUCCGGCAGGUGGUGCUGGGGUGUCCAGCACGAGGUUCUGGCACGUCUGAGAGGUUGUGCCAUCAUGCCCAAAACAUUAUCCCGCUUGUACUCAAAGUGGUUCUGGUGUAGCCGGCAGGUGAUUUUGGCGUGUCCGGCAGCUGGUUCCAGCGUGCUCAGCAGGUGGUUCCAGUCUGUGCAGUACAUGUUUCCAGCUUGUCCGGCAAGUGGUUCUGGUACGUCUGAGAGGUGGUUCCGGCUAGUCUGGCAGGUGGUUCCGGUCUGUCCCGGAGGUGUUUCUGGCAUGUCCGGAACGUGGUUCUGGCACGUCUGCGAGGCGCGUCGGGCAUGCCUGGCAGGUGAUUCCUGGGUGUCCUCCAAGUGGUUCUGGCAUCACCAGCAGGUUAUUUUGGCAUGUCCAGCAGGUCUUUCCUGCUUUUUGGGCUCGUGGCUCUGGCUUGUAAGACAGGUGUUGGUGGCAUUUCUGGCCUCCGGUUCUGACAUACUCCGCAGGUGGUUUCACUGUUUCUGGCACCUGUUUGCGGCAUAUCCAUCAGGUGUUUCCAAUGUGCCUGGCAUGUCGUUGUGCUGCGUUUGGAAUCUGGUUCCGUUGUGUCUGUUGUGUGCAGCUGGCAUGUUGAAGAGAUGGUUCUGCAGUGUCAGAAUUAUUGUUCCACUGUGUUCAGCAGGUGGUUACAGGUGGUUCUGGCAUGCAACGUGGGUGCUUCUGGUGUACCAGUUGGGUCGUUCUGCCAUGAAUGUGUGGUUCUUUGAGAGUGUGCGGAGGGUGUUUUUGGCAUGUCUCCCGGUGUUUUAUGGCAUCUAAGGGGCAUGAUUCCUUUUUAUGCGUCAGGUGAGUUG
Molecule: long non-coding RNA, 4248 nt
Organism: Equus caballus (horse)
Lineage: Eukaryota; Metazoa; Chordata; Mammalia; Perissodactyla; Equidae
Source: Ensembl